RNAcentral lists this ribosomal RNA (301 nucleotides) under uncultured bacterium. RNAcentral's name for it is "partial 16S ribosomal RNA". It matches the Rfam family "Bacterial small subunit ribosomal RNA", at positions 509 to 807 of the family's 1533-position model. The record is from RNAcentral.
CAGCAGCCGCGGUAACACGAAGGGGGCUAGCGUUGUUCGGAAUUACUGGGCGUAAAGCGCACGUAGGCGGAUAUUUAAGUCAGGGGUGAAAUCCCGCAGCUCAACUGCGGAACUGCCUUUGAUACUGGGUAUCUUGAGUAUGGAAGAGGUUAGUGGAAUUGCGAGUGUAGAGGUGAAAUUCGUAGAUAUUCGCAGGAACACCAGUGGCGAAGGCGGCUAACUGGUCCAUAACUGACGCUGAGGUGCGAAAGCGUGGGGAGCAAACAGGAUUAGAUACCCGCGUAGUCCCUGUCUCUUAUAC